AACGAACGCUGGCGGCAUGCCUAACACAUGCAAGUCGAACGAGACCUUCGGGUCUAGUGGCGCACGGGUGCGUAACGCGUGGGAACCUGCCCUUAGGUUCGGAAUAACUCCCCGAAAGGGGUGCUAAUACCGGAUAAUGUCUUCGGACCAAAGAUUUAUCGCCUUUGGAUGGGCCCGCGUUGGAUUAGCUAGUUGGUAGGGUAAAAGCCUACCAAGGCGACGAUCCAUAGCUGGUCUGAGAGGAUGAUCAGCCACACUGGGACUGGGACACGGCCCAGACUCCUACGGGAGGCAGCAGUGGGGAAUAUUGGACAAUGGGCGGAAGCCUGAUCCAGCAAUGCCGCGUGAGUGAUGAAGGCCUUAGGGUUGUAAAGCUCUUUUACCCGGGAUGAUAAUGACAGUACCGGGAGAAUAAGCUCCGGCUAACUCCGUG
This 433-nucleotide ribosomal RNA is filed under the name uncultured bacterium. RNAcentral describes it as "partial 16S ribosomal RNA". It matches the Rfam family "Bacterial small subunit ribosomal RNA", at positions 29 to 507 of the family's 1533-position model. The record is from RNAcentral.